AGUGGAUGGGGAGCAACCUAGUUGUGCGUGUGUAAAGGUAGUGCCAAGAAAAGCGAUGAUCAUGUUGAAAAUCAAUUCCCGGUACCCGAAACCGACACAGGUGGGCAAGUAGAGAAUACUAAGGGGCGCGAGGUAACUCUCUCCAAGGAACUCGGCAAAAUGACCCCGUAACUUAGGGAGAAGGGGUGCCACCGAGAGGUGGUCGCAGUGAAGAGGCCCAGGCGACUGUUUAGCAAAAACAUAGGUCUCUGCAAACUCGAAAGAGGAGGUAUAGGGGCUGACGCCUGCCCAGUGCCGGAAGGUUAAAGAAGUUGGUCAGUUUUAGGAUGAAGCUAGCGACUGAAGCCCCGGUGAACGGCGGCCGUAACUAUAACGGUCCUAAGGUAGCGAAAUUCCUUGUCGGGUAAGUUCCGACCCGCACGAAAGGCGUAACGAUCUGGGCGCUGUCUCGGAGAGAGGCUCGGCGAAAUAGGAUUGUCUGUGAAGAUACGGACUACCUGCAUUUGGACAGAAAGACCCUAUGAAGCUUUACUAUAGCUUGGAAUUGUGUUCGGGCUUCCUGUGCGCAGGAUAGGUGGGAGGCGUAGAAGGUAUUCUUGUGGGGAUACUGGAGCCAACGGUGAGAUACCACUCUCAGGAGGCUAGAAUUCUAACUUAAUUAAGGACAGUUUCAGGUGGGUUUUGACUGGGGCGGUCGCCUCCAAAAAGGUAACGGAGGCGUACAAAGGUUCCCUCAGACUGGUUGGAAAUCAGUCGAAGAGUGCAAAGGCAGAAGGGAGCUUGACUGCGAGAAGUACAGUUCGAGCAGGGUGGAAACACGGUCUUAGUGAUCCGACGGUGCUGUGUGGAAGGGCCGUCGCUCAACGGAUAAAAGUUACUCUAAGGAUAACAGGCUGAUCUCCCCCAAGAGUUCACAUCGACGGGGAGGUUUGGCACCUCGAUGUCGGCUCAUCGCAAUCUGGGGCGGAAGUACGUCCCAAGGGUUGGGCUGUUCGCCCAUUAAAGCGGUACGUGAGCUGGGUUCAGAACGUCGUGAGACAGUUCGGUCCAUAUCCGAUGUAGGCGUGAGAAUAUUGAGAGGAGCCUUCCUUAGUACGAGAGGACCGGGAAGGACGCACCGCUGGUGUACCUGUUAUGAUGCCAAUUGUAAACGCAGGGUAGCCAAGUGCGGAGAGGAUAACCGCUGAAAGCAUCUAAGUGGGAAGCCCACCUCAAGAUGAGUAUUCUGGUGUAAGGUCACGGGAAGACGACCCGUAAAUAGGCACGAGGUGGAAGUGCAGAGAUGUAUGAAGCCGAAGUGUACUAAUAGACCGUCGGCUUGACC
Molecule: ribosomal RNA, 1324 nt
Filed under: metagenome
Description: bacterial LSU rRNA
Rfam family: Bacterial large subunit ribosomal RNA
Source: RNAcentral